RNAcentral lists this ribosomal RNA (476 nucleotides) under uncultured bacterium. RNAcentral's name for it is "bacterial SSU rRNA". It matches the Rfam family "Bacterial small subunit ribosomal RNA", at positions 28 to 508 of the family's 1533-position model. The record is from RNAcentral.
GAUGAACGCUGGCGGCGUGCCUAACACAUGCAAGUCGAGCGGAAAUACCAAAUGUACUCGUACAGGCGGUAUUUUAGCGGCGGACGGGUGAGUAACACGUGAGCAACCUGCCUUUUGCUGGGGAAUAACAUUGGGAAACCAGUGCUAAUACCGCAUGACGUCAACGGGGGACAUCCCCUGAUGACCAAAGGAGAAAUCCGGCAGAAGAUGGGCUCGCGUCCGAUUAGUUAGUUGGCGGGGUAACGGCCCACCAAGACCGCGAUCGGUAGCCGAACUGAGAGGUUGAUCGGCCACAUUGGGACUGAGACACGGCCCAGACUCCUACGGGAGGCAGCAGUGGGGAAUAUUGGGCAAUGGGGGAAACCCUGACCCAGCAACGCCGCGUGAAGGACGAAGGCCUUCGGGUUGUAAACUUCUUUGAUCAGGGACGAAAGCAAUGACGGUACCUGAAGAACAAGCCACGGCUAACUACGUCG